This 117-nucleotide ribosomal RNA is filed under the name Pseudomonadota bacterium. The record is from RNAcentral. RNAcentral also lists the same sequence under 1 other name. Lineage: Bacteria; Pseudomonadati; Pseudomonadota.
UCUGGGGACCAUACCGGGGGUGAAAACCUCCUUCCCAUUCCGAAUAGGGCAGGGAACCCCCCCAGGGCCGAUGAUACUGCGUCCGCACGGGCGUGGGAAAGUAGGUCGUCCCCAGGU